GAUGAACGCUGGCGGCGUGCCUAAUACAUGCAAGUCGAGCGGUAAGGCCCUUCGGGGUACACGAGCGGCGGACGGCUGAGUAACACGUAGGAACGUACCCCAAACUGAGGGAUAAGCACCAGAAAUGGUGUCUAAUACCGCAUGUGCUCUAAGGAGUAAAGCUUCGGCGGUUUGGGAACGGCCUGCGCACGAUUAGAUUGUUGGUGAGGUAAUGGCUCACCAAGUCGACGAUCGUUAGUUGGUCUGAGAGGAUGAUCAACCAGACUGGGACUGAGAACGGCCCAGACUCCUACGGGAGGCAGCAGUAGGGAAUUUUCCACAAUGGGCGAAAGCCUGAUGGAGCAACGCCGCGUGCAGGAUGAAGGCUCUAGGGUCGUAAACUGCUUUUAUAUGUGACGAAUAUGACGGUAGCAUAUGAAUAAGGAUCGGCUAACUCCGUG
This 440-nucleotide ribosomal RNA is filed under the name uncultured bacterium. RNAcentral's name for it is "bacterial SSU rRNA". It matches the Rfam family "Bacterial small subunit ribosomal RNA", at positions 28 to 507 of the family's 1533-position model. The record is from RNAcentral.